This 325-nucleotide ribosomal RNA is filed under the name uncultured bacterium. RNAcentral's name for it is "bacterial SSU rRNA". It matches the Rfam family "Bacterial small subunit ribosomal RNA", at positions 28 to 334 of the family's 1533-position model. The record is from RNAcentral.
GACGAACGCUGGCGGCGUGCCUAACACAUGCAAGUCGAACGAGAAUCGAUGGGAUUGCGGCUUCGGCCAAAUGAAGUUGAGGAAAGUGGCGAACGGGUGAGUAACGCGUGAGAAACCUGCCUUUCAGUGGGGGACAACAGUUGGAGACGACUGCUAAUACCGCAUAAUGUAUCGAGGGGGCAUCCUCUUGAUACCAAAGCUUUGUGUGCUGAAAGAUGGUCUCGCGUCUGAUUAGCUUGUUGGCGGGGUAACGGCCCACCAAGGCGACGAUCAGUAGCCGGUCUGAGAGGACGAACGGCCACAUUGGGACUGAGAUACGGCCCAG